CCUACGGGAGGCAGCAGUGGGGAAUAUUGCACAAUGGGGGAAACCCUGCUGCAGCGACGCCGCGUGAGCGAUGAAGUAUUUCGGUAUGUAAAGCUCUAUCAGCAGGGAAGAAGAUGACGGUACCUGAGUAAGAAGCCCCGGCUAACUACGUGCCAGCAGCCGCGGUAAUACGUAGGGGGCAAGCGUUAUCCGGAUUUACUGGGUGUAAAGGGAGCGUAGACGGCAGUGCAAGUCUGGAGUGAAAGGCGGGGGCUCAACCCCCGGACUGCUCUGGAAACUGUACGGCUGGAGUGCAGGAGAGGUAAGUGGAAUUCCUAGUGUAGCGGUGAAAUGCGUAGAUAUUAGGAGGAACACCAGUGGCGAAGGCGGCUUACUGGACUGUAACUGACGUUGAGGCUCGAAAGCGUGGGGAGUAAACAGGAUUAGAUACCCGGGUAGUC
RNAcentral lists this ribosomal RNA (440 nucleotides) under uncultured bacterium. RNAcentral describes it as "partial 16S ribosomal RNA". It matches the Rfam family "Bacterial small subunit ribosomal RNA", at positions 338 to 795 of the family's 1533-position model. The record is from RNAcentral.